RNAcentral lists this ribosomal RNA (575 nucleotides) under uncultured archaeon. RNAcentral's name for it is "bacterial SSU rRNA". It matches the Rfam family "Archaeal small subunit ribosomal RNA", at positions 1 to 584 of the family's 1478-position model. The record is from RNAcentral.
UUCCGGUUGAUCCUGCCGGAGGCGCCGCUAUUGGAGUCGAUUAAGCCAUGCGAGUAGAAAGAAAUUAGAUUCUUUGCAUACUGCUCAGUAACACGUGGAUAACCUGCCCUACACUGGGGGAUAAUCUUGGGAAACUGAGGAUAAUACCCCAUAGACCACUACGCCUGGAACGGUGAGUGGUUGAAAGCUCCGGCGGUGUAGGAUGGGUCUGCGGCGUAUCAGGUCGUAGGGGGUGUAAUGGACCUCCUAGCCAUCGACGCGUACGGGUUGUGGGAGCAAUAGCCCGGAGACGGAUUCUGAGACACGAAUCCGGACCCUACGGGGUGCAGCAGGCGCGAAAACUUCACACUGCAGGAAACUGUGAUGAGGGAACUCCAAGUGACUGCACAAUGUGUAGCCUUUUCUUGAAUCUUAAUAGUUCUUGGAAUAAGGGCUGGGAAAGACCGGUGCCAGCCGCCGCGGUAAUACCGGCAGCUCAAGUGGUCGUCGCUUUUAUUGGGCCUAAAACGUCCGUAGCCUGUUUGGUAAAUCUGUGGGUAAAUCAACGAGCUUAACUCGUUGAAUUCUGCAGAGAC